This 454-nucleotide ribosomal RNA is filed under the name uncultured bacterium. RNAcentral's name for it is "partial 16S ribosomal RNA". It matches the Rfam family "Bacterial small subunit ribosomal RNA", at positions 28 to 507 of the family's 1533-position model. The record is from RNAcentral.
GAUGAACGCUGACAGAAUGCUUAACACAUGCAAGUCUACUUGAACUUCGGUUUGGGUGGCGGACGGGUGAGUAACGCGUAAAGAACUUGCCUCACAGUUAGGGACAACAUUUGGAAACGAAUGCUAAUACCUGAUAUUAUGAUUUUAGGGCAUCCUAAAAUUAUGAAAGCUAUAUGCGCUGUGAGAGAGCUUUGCGUCCCAUUAGCUAGUUGGAGAGGUAACGGCUCACCAAGGCGAUGAUGGGUAGCCGGCCUGAGAGGGUGAACGGCCACAAGGGGACUGAGACACGGCCCUUACUCCUACGGGAGGCAGCAGUGGGGAAUAUUGGUCAAUGGACCAAAAGUCUGAUCCAGCAAUUCUGUGUGCACGAUGACGUUUUUCGGAAUGUAAAGUGCUUUCAGUUGGGAAGAAAAAAAUGACGGUACCAACAGAAGAAGUGACGGCUAAAUACGUG